This 322-nucleotide unclassified non-coding RNA is filed under the name soil metagenome. RNAcentral's name for it is "partial contains 5.8S ribosomal RNA, internal transcribed spacer 2, and large subunit ribosomal RNA". The stretch from base 1 to 120 matches the Rfam family "5.8S ribosomal RNA", at positions 35 to 154 of the family's 154-position model. The record is from RNAcentral.
GAUGAAGAACGUAGCGAAAUGCGAUAAGUAAUGUGAAUUGCAGAAUUCAGUGAAUCAUCGAAUCUUUGAACGCACAUUGCGCCCUUUGGCAUUCCGAAGGGCACACCUGUCCGAGCGCCGUCGCACAACUGAGGCGCAGCCUUGCGUUGGCGGGCGACUUGUGAGUAGCGGGUCGCCGCCCAAACGAGACGGCGCCGCGCCGCGGCCGACGAAGCACGAAAGCGGAAGUCGACGCGGAGGCGGUUGCCUGUAGGAAGACACAGCUUGGCCUCGGAUCAGGUGGGGAUACCCGCUGAACUUAAGCAUAUCAAUAAGCGGAGGA